AGAGUUUGAUCCUGGCUCAGAUUGAACGCUGGCGGCAUGCCUUACACAUGCAAGUCGAACGGCAGCACGGGAGCAAUCCUGGUGGCGAGUGGCGAACGGGUGAGUAAUGUAUCGGAACGUACCUUUCAGUGGGGGAUAACGUAGCGAAAGUUACGCUAAUACCGCAUAUUCUGUGAGCAGGAAAGCAGGGGAUCGCAAGACCUUGCGCUGAUUGAGCGGCCGAUAUCAGAUUAGCUAGUUGGUGAGGUAAAGGCUCACCAAGGCGACGAUCUGUAGCGGGUCUGAGAGGAUGAUCCGCCACACUGGAACUGAGACACGGUCCAGACUCCUACGGGAGGCAGCAGUGGGGAAUUUUGGACAAUGGGGGCAACCCUGAUCCAGCCAUGCCGCGUGAGUGAAGAAGGCCUUCGGGUUGUAAAGCUCUUUCAGCCGGGAAGAAAACGCAUGGGUUAAUACCCUGUGUGGAUGACGGUACCGGAAUAAGAAGCACCGGCUAACUACGUGCCAGCAGCCGCGGUAA
Molecule: ribosomal RNA, 520 nt
Filed under: uncultured bacterium
Lineage: Bacteria
Description: bacterial SSU rRNA
Rfam family: Bacterial small subunit ribosomal RNA
Source: RNAcentral